Coffea arabica (coffee) is the source of this 952-nucleotide non-coding RNA. NCBI's taxonomy places the organism in Eukaryota, Viridiplantae, Streptophyta, Magnoliopsida, Gentianales, Rubiaceae. The record is from RefSeq and is a predicted model, not a curated record.
AACAUCAUCUUUUCCCUUAAUUUCCAAAGUCAUGACCUUCCAACCUUGUACUGAAAAUUCUUAGUUAUUACUUGUGUUAGAUUCGGAAGUUUGUAAUAUUCAAGCUAAAUUUUGAAAGACAGAUGAGGUACGUGUUUGAUAUGGUUUAACUGGAUUUCUAACAAUGGAAUUACAUUGUUGACUAUGUGACUAAACACAUUUGGAUUUUCAUAUGCCUUUUGGGGUUGGAGAACAUGCAUUGGAAUACUAGAUAUAUGCUUAAAACAAGACUAUCAUUAUAUACUUGCUCCAUUUUCACACAACCAUUUUCAUAUGAAAUCUAACGGUCAAAAUUGAAAUUAUGUGUUAGAUUGUUGAAUAUAUAAAAGUAGCAGAUGCCCUAUUUAACGGAGGCUUUAUAACUCCUUUUCUACUUUUGGCUCUUGGUUACUCAUUCAAAACUCUGGACAUCAAAAAAAAAAAAAAAAAGGGUCAUUGUGGUAGCAUGAAGCUCCUGACAUUGUGGCUUGAUAUAGUGCUGUUCAUGAACAGUUGAACUUCCCUGUCAAACUCCAACAAAUGCUAGAUAAAAUUUUAAUGUAUAUUAUAACUUUCGCUUCUGGGAUUCGGUGGCCAUAUUUGAAAUCUGGGCUCUGAGUUUUAUAUCCUGCUUAGACAUUUUUCUCUCUGGCAGGGAGAAGUUGAUUGUCCAUUCUACCUGAAAACUGGCAGCUGCAAGUAUGGUCAAACAUGUCGGUACAAUCACCCAGAUAGAAAUGCAAUCAACCCCCCUGCUGCUGCUAUAGGUGCAGCGUAUAUAGCCUCUCCUGCACCAAAUUUAAGCAUCGGAAUUGUUAAUCCAGCUGCAUCUAUCCUGCAGACUUUUGACCCAAGGCUGACACAGACAACGGUUGGAUUGGCCGCUGCUAUCUACCCACAACGACCUGGAGAGGCUGCGUGUGAUGUCUGUAUU